Schistocerca americana (American grasshopper) is the source of this 325-nucleotide long non-coding RNA. RefSeq lists it as uncharacterized. The record is from RefSeq and is a predicted model, not a curated record. The transcript is spliced from 3 exons. Lineage: Eukaryota; Metazoa; Arthropoda; Insecta; Orthoptera; Acrididae.
GAGGGAUGCAGAGGGCUCGCCGGCCCUACAUAUCGCUGUCGCCAAGGGCCAUGUGGACUGUGCCAAAGUCCUUUUGGAGGAAGGGGCCAACGCUGAAGAGAAAGACGCCGCAGGACUCACGGCCAUUGUGCUAGCGGCCAAACAAUGUCAACCGAAAAUAAUAAACGAGCUACUUGGAAGUGUGUUAGCUCCGCGGGGACAAAACUGGAGCAUAGUUCACUGGGCAGCGUACGUUGGGGAUCACAAGUGGGUGGAAUCGGUACUGGCGGAACGAAGAGAAGCGAGAGCGCCGGGAGGUCUGUCGGCGCUGCACGUGGCGGCGGCU